Long non-coding RNA from Sapajus apella (tufted capuchin), 104 nucleotides. RefSeq lists it as uncharacterized. The transcript has 3 exons. NCBI's taxonomy places the organism in Eukaryota, Metazoa, Chordata, Mammalia, Primates, Cebidae. The record is from RefSeq and is a predicted model, not a curated record.
CAACUAUAAGAAAAACACAGGAAAAAACACUAAGAGGAUUUACAAAGUCAGAAAUAGCACAAGCCCUAAUAAGUAAGUUAAUUACGUGAUAGCCCCAGUUAGGU